ACGCACGCUUUUCGAGAAUGGAAUGGAGCACAAGUUAAGGCUUAAAACGAACGAGGUUGAGCGGUGACGAGUGCGGCGGGUGUUGAGCAUAAAAGUGAAGAAUGUUUAUCAAAUGUCCAGAAUAUGUUGUGUCUUCAUACAUAGCAGUAUUCUACUCUCGAAAUGCUUCCGCUGAGUUAUUGUCUUUCUUUUGAGUUCUUGUAUUGUUGAGAUAGUAUUCUUUUAAGUUGUUGAUUGUUGAGAUACUCUGAUUUUAAUCGAGCUAUAACUAUUAUUUCAAGCUUUGGUCGA
This is a non-coding RNA of Salvia hispanica, 291 nucleotides long. The record is from RefSeq and is a predicted model, not a curated record. Lineage: Eukaryota; Viridiplantae; Streptophyta; Magnoliopsida; Lamiales; Lamiaceae.